UGGGGGAUAUUGCACAAUGGAGGAAACUCUGAUGCAGCAACGCCGCGUGAGGGAAGAAGGUCUUCGGAUUGUAAACCUCAGUAGUCAGGGACGAAAGAAAUGACGGUACCUGAAGAGUAAGCUCCGGCUAACUACGUGCCAGCAGCCGCGGUAAUACGUAGGGAGCGAGCGUUGUCCGGAUUUACUGGGUGUAAAGGGUGCGUAGGCGGGAUAGCAAGUCAGACGUGAAAUACCGAGGCUUAACUUCGGGGCUGCGUUUGAAACUGUUAUUCUUGAGUGAAGUAGAGGCGGGCGGAAUUCCAAGUGUAGCGGUGAAAUGCGUAGAUAUUAGGAGGAACACCAGUGGCGAAGGCGGCCUGCUGGGCUUUAACUGACGCUGAGGCACGAAAGCAUGGGGAGCAAACA
Molecule: ribosomal RNA, 405 nt
Filed under: uncultured bacterium
Lineage: Bacteria
Description: bacterial SSU rRNA
Rfam family: Bacterial small subunit ribosomal RNA
Source: RNAcentral